This 345-nucleotide long non-coding RNA is filed under the name Gossypium barbadense (sea-island cotton). RNAcentral's name for it is "long non-coding RNA (GBAR_LNC008374)". The record is from RNAcentral. Lineage: Eukaryota; Viridiplantae; Streptophyta; Magnoliopsida; Malvales; Malvaceae.
AAUUCCCUGAUUCCCUUAGCCCUGAUCAGGUUAAGGCACUUGAGGCCAUCCUGCCUCCAAAACCAACCUCUCAGUUGAGUGAUAUGGAGCUAGAUGAGUGUGAGGAGACCACGCUCUAUGAUGUGAACAUUGAAGAGGAGAUGAGGAGGAAGCAGCAGCAGGCAGCGCAGGAAGCUUAUGAGGAAGAUGAAGAUAUGCAUGGCGGUGCCCAGAGGGUGCAGUGUGCCCAGCAAUGAUGAUGAAGCAAAAAAGAAGAUAUAUGGUUUCAAAAGUAUUCUCGAGGAUACAGAAAGCUGGUUUCUCUAGUAAUGUAGAGUGGCAAAGCAUGUCUUGCUCAGGUGGUGG